AACGUAGGAGCCAAGCGUUAUCCGAAUUCACUGGGCGUAAAGCGCGAGCAGGCGGCUCGGCAAGUUGGAUGUGAAAUCUCCUGGCUCAACUGGGAGAGGACGUUCAAAACUGCAGGGCUAGAGGACGGCAGAGGGAGGUGGAAUUCCCGGUGUAGUGGUGAAAUGCGUAGAUAUCGGGAGGAACACCAGAGGCGAAAGCGACCUCCUGGGCCGGACCUGACGCUCGGAUGCGAAAGCUAGGGGAGCAAACGGG
This 253-nucleotide ribosomal RNA is filed under the name uncultured bacterium. Its description in RNAcentral is "partial 16S ribosomal RNA". It matches the Rfam family "Bacterial small subunit ribosomal RNA", at positions 524 to 776 of the family's 1533-position model. The record is from RNAcentral.